Long non-coding RNA from Tigriopus californicus, 545 nucleotides. RefSeq lists it as uncharacterized. The transcript is spliced from 3 exons. The record is from RefSeq and is a predicted model, not a curated record. NCBI's taxonomy places the organism in Eukaryota, Metazoa, Arthropoda, Copepoda, Harpacticoida, Harpacticidae.
CACGGCAGCUGCUGUUUUCGUACUCGUCCCUCGCGCUUUGCCACCACUCUCGAAAUCCGUCUUCAGAUGGAUUCUCGGACGGACGAGUUCUGUGAUCGAAGCUGCCUUAGCGCCAGUUAGGACUAAUGACCUGAAAGUCGAUUGGGUGGUCUCUCAACGGGUUAGGCAGCACCCGCCCAGCACAUAGAGGAAACCAUGGCCCGUCGUCAAUCCACUGUUGAAAACCGAACAAAGCAUGUGUACUUCAGGAGAGGCCGAAGAUUUAUUUGACACACCCACCACCCACCAUGUCGCUCUUCAAGUCAUUGGCUGGCUCGUUUGACAAUGUUAACUUGCUAUCAUCACCGUUGGAAUGCGUCAAAAGUCAGUGUGGGUCAACUCACUCGAGGACUUAGAAUCCGUACAAAUGAAGAGACUUUGGAUGUGAAGCUCAAAUGAAGCAUAACAUUUCGGAAUCCAUCUGGGAAUUUCAUGGAGGAAGAAGAAAAACAGAACGACGGAGUAAUGGGAAGCCCACAACCACGGGAAAGCGACACCUCCGGCGG